AGUGUGAACCAGACCAAGUAGCGUGACAGGAUGGACGGCCCAGGGGUGGUAAACUGCUUUUGUUGGGGAGUAAACGGGGCACGUGUGCCCCUUUGCAUUUACCCUUCGAAUAAGGACCGGCUAAUUCCGUGCCAGCAGCCGCGGUAAUACGGAAGGUCCAGGCGUUAUCCGGAUUUAUUGGGUUUAAAGGGAGUGUAGGCGGUCUGUUAAGCGUGUUGUGAAAUUUAGGUGCUCAACAUCUACCUUGCAGCGCGAACUGGCGGACUUGAGUGCACGCAACGUAUGCGGAAUUCAUGGUGUAGCGGUGAAAUGCUUAGAUAUCAUGACGAACUCCGAUUGCGAAGGCAGCGUACGGGAGUGUUACUGACGCUUAAGCUCGAAGGUGCGGGUAUCGAACAGGAUUAGAUACCCUGGUAGUCCGCACGGUAAACGAUGGAUGCCCGCUGUUAGCGCCUGGCGUUAGCGGCUAAGCGAAAGCAUUAAGCAUCCCACCUGGGGAGUACACCGGCAACGGUGAA
Molecule: ribosomal RNA, 518 nt
Filed under: Prevotella intermedia
Lineage: Bacteria; Pseudomonadati; Bacteroidota; Bacteroidia; Bacteroidales; Prevotellaceae
Description: bacterial SSU rRNA
Rfam family: Bacterial small subunit ribosomal RNA
Source: RNAcentral